CUACGGGUUGCUCCGGUGAGGAAUAUUGCGCAAUGGACGAAAGUCUGACGCAGCCAUGCCGCGUGCAGGAUGACGGCGCUAUGCGUUGUAAACUGCUUUUAUAUGCCAAGAAACCUUCGGACGUGUCCGAAGCUGACGGUAGCAUAUGAAUAAGCACCGGCUAACUCCGUGCCAGCGGCCGCGGUAAUACGGAGGGUACAAGCGUUAUCCGGAUUUAUUGGGUUUAAAGGGUCCGUAGGCGGAUCAUUAAGUCAGUGGUGAAAGCCGGCAGCUCAACUGUCGAACUACCAUUGAUACUGGUGAUCUUGAAUACGGUUGAAGUUGGCGGAAUAGGUCAUGUAGCGGUGAAAUGCUUAGAUAUGACCUAGAACACCGAUUGCGAAGGCAGCCAACUAAGCCGUUAUUGACGCUGAGGGACGAAAGCGUGGGGAGCGAACAGGAUUAGAUACCCCCGUAGUC
Molecule: ribosomal RNA, 459 nt
Filed under: uncultured bacterium
Lineage: Bacteria
Description: partial 16S ribosomal RNA
Rfam family: Bacterial small subunit ribosomal RNA
Source: RNAcentral